Molecule: ribosomal RNA, 253 nt
Filed under: uncultured bacterium
Lineage: Bacteria
Description: partial 16S ribosomal RNA
Rfam family: Bacterial small subunit ribosomal RNA
Source: RNAcentral
UACGAAGGGAGCUAGCGUUGUUCGGAAUCACUGGGCGUAAAGCGCACGUAGGCGGACGUGUAAGUCAGGGGUGAAAUCCCGGAGCUCAACUUCGGAACUGCCUUUGAUACAGCACGUCUUGAGUCCGGAAGAGGUGGGUGGAAUUCCUAGUGUAGAGGUGAAAUUCGUAGAUAUUGGGAAGAACACCGAUGGCGAAGGCAGCCAUCUGGACCGACACUGACGCUGAGGCGCGAAAGCGUGGGGAGCAAACAGG